Molecule: transfer RNA, 62 nt
Filed under: Uroctonus mordax (western forest scorpion)
Lineage: Eukaryota; Metazoa; Arthropoda; Arachnida; Scorpiones; Chactidae
Description: tRNA-Leu
Source: RNAcentral
AUCAAUGUAGCAAAUAAAAUGCAAUGAAUUUAAGCUUCAUUUAUAGUCUAAACUCUUUGAUA